AUUGAACGCUGGCGGCAGGCCUAACACAUGCAAGUCGAGCGGAUGAAGGGAGCUUGCUCCUGGUUUCAGCGGCGGACGGGUGAGUAAUGCCUAGGAAUCUGCCUGGUAGUGGGGGAUAACGUCCGGUAACGGGCGCUAAUACUGCAUACGUCCUGAGGGAGAAAGUGGGGGAUCUUCGGACCUCAGGCUAUCAGAUGAGCCUAGGUGGGAUUAGCUAGUUGGUGGGGUAAAGGCCUACCAAGGCGACGAUCCGUAACUGGUCUGAGAGGAUGAUCAGUCACACUGGAACUGAGACACGGUCCAGACUCCUACGGGAGGCAGCAGUGGGGAAUAUUGGACAAUGGGCGAAAGCCUGAUCCAGCCAUGCCGCGUGUGUGAAGAAGGUCUUCGGAUUGUAAAGCACUUUAAGUGGGGAGGAAGGGCAGUAAGUUAAUACCUUGCUGUUUUGACGUUACCAACAGAAUAAGCACCGGCUAACUUCGUG
This 484-nucleotide ribosomal RNA is filed under the name uncultured bacterium. RNAcentral's name for it is "partial 16S ribosomal RNA". It matches the Rfam family "Bacterial small subunit ribosomal RNA", at positions 30 to 507 of the family's 1533-position model. The record is from RNAcentral.